GGGGGCGAUCUUGGUUUCGACGGGGGUUGCGAAGCAGAUGCGGGCAUACUGGGGUCUCAGAUUCCCGUAAAACACUGAAUCUAAAUAGUCGCAAACGACGAAACUUACGCUUUAGCCGCUUAAGGCUAGCCGUUGCAGCAGUUGGCCGAUGGGCUGUGUAGGGUCAAACCUACGGCAACGUCAUUUCACAUUGGCUGGUUUUCCGUCGGGUUACUUGGCGGAAAAUAAGAUUUAAGGUAACUGGCUUCCCAAGAGCCUGUCUGUCGGCGCAAGGGAAGCAAGAUUUCAAGUAGGCAAGACUAAGUAUGUAGAACGCUUUGUAGAGGACUUUCGGACGGGGGUUCAAUUCCCCCCGCCUCCACCA
This 364-nucleotide transfer-messenger RNA is filed under the name Neisseria weixii. Its description in RNAcentral is "Standard tmRNA". It matches the Rfam family "transfer-messenger RNA". Rfam says of the family: Bacterial tmRNA, also known as 10Sa RNA or SsrA, is named for its dual tRNA and mRNA-like properties. Its role is to liberate the mRNA from a stalled ribosome. To accomplish this part of the tmRNA is used as a reading frame that ends in a translation stop signal. Lineage: Bacteria; Pseudomonadati; Pseudomonadota; Betaproteobacteria; Neisseriales; Neisseriaceae. The record is from RNAcentral.